UCCGUAGGUGGAUCAAUCAGUCAGAGGUGAAAUCCUGCAGCUUAACUGUAGAACUGCCUUUGAUACUGUUGAUCUUGAGUCAUUAUGAAGUGGUUAGAAUGUGUAGUGUAGCGGUGAAAUGCAUAGAUAUUACACAGAAUACCGAUUGCGAAGGCAGAUCACUAAUAAUGUACUGACACUGAGGGACGAAAGUGUGGGGAGCGAACAGGAUUAGAUACCCUGGUAGUCC
Molecule: ribosomal RNA, 229 nt
Filed under: uncultured bacterium
Lineage: Bacteria
Description: partial 16S ribosomal RNA
Rfam family: Bacterial small subunit ribosomal RNA
Source: RNAcentral